GACGAACGCUGGCGGCGCGCUUAACACAUGCAAGUCGAACGGAAGGGCCUGCUUUCCCUUGUGGAUUGCGGGUACUCGAGUGGCGAACGGGUGAGUAACACGUGAGUGAUCUGCCCCCAACUUGGGUAUAAGCCUGGGAAACUGGGUCUAAUUCCCGAUAGGACUGCAGGGUGGUGCCUGUGGUGGAAAACGAUUUUCUAGUGGUUGGGGAUGAGCUCGCGGCCUAUCAGCUUGUUGGUGGGGUAAUGGCCUACCAAGGCGGCGACGGGUAGCCGGCCUGAGAGGGUGGACGGCCACAUUGGGACUGAGAUACGGCCCAGACUCCUACGGGAGGCAGCAGUGGGGAAUAUUGCACACUGGGCGGAAGCCUGAUGCAGCGACGCCGCGUGGGGGAUGACGGCCUUCGGGUUGUAAACUCCUUUCGACCGCGAGGAAGCCACCUGGUUGGAAGGGUGGUGACGGUAGUGGUAGAAGAAGCACCGGCUAACUACGUG
RNAcentral lists this ribosomal RNA (494 nucleotides) under uncultured bacterium. RNAcentral describes it as "partial 16S ribosomal RNA". It matches the Rfam family "Bacterial small subunit ribosomal RNA", at positions 28 to 507 of the family's 1533-position model. The record is from RNAcentral.